This 263-nucleotide ribosomal RNA is filed under the name Hydrolithon cf. onkodes. Its description in RNAcentral is "partial small subunit ribosomal RNA". It matches the Rfam family "Eukaryotic small subunit ribosomal RNA", at positions 255 to 527 of the family's 1831-position model. Lineage: Eukaryota; Rhodophyta; Florideophyceae; Corallinales; Hydrolithaceae. The record is from RNAcentral.
AAUCGUCUUUCUGAUCCCUUCAUGCUACGCACCGUUCUAAUUUCUGACCUAUCAUCUUUCUUUGGUAAGGUAGUGUCUUUUUAUGGUGGCUAUGGGUUACGGACCGUGGGUGCGGGACUCCGGAGAGGGAGCCUGACUCACGGCUACCACAUCCGAGGAAGGCAGCAGGCGCCCAACUUGCCCAAUCCAGACUCUGGGAGGCAGUGACAAAAAAUAUCAGUCCGGGAUCCUAUGGGUCUUCUAAUUGGAAUGAGAACCAUCUA